RNAcentral lists this ribosomal RNA (437 nucleotides) under uncultured bacterium. Its description in RNAcentral is "bacterial SSU rRNA". It matches the Rfam family "Bacterial small subunit ribosomal RNA", at positions 28 to 447 of the family's 1533-position model. The record is from RNAcentral.
GAUGAACGCUGGCGGCGUGCUUAACACAUGCAAGUCGAGCGAAGCACUUUGGAAAGAUUCUUCGGAUGAUUUCCUUUGUGACUGAGCGGCGGACGGGUGAGUAACGCGUGGGUAACCUGCCUCAUACAGGGGAAUAACAGUUAGAAAUGACUGCUAAUACCGCAUAAGACCACGGUACCGCAUGGUACAGUGGUAAAAACUCCGGUGGUAUGAGAUGGACCCGCGUCUGAUUAGGUAGUUGGUGGGGUAACGGCCUACCAAGCCGACGAUCAGUAGCCGACCUGAGAGGGUGACCGGCCACAUUGGGACUGAGACACAGCCCAGACUCCUACGGGAGGCAGCAGUGGGGAAUAUUGCACAAUGGAGGAAACUCUGAUACAGCGACGCCGCGUGAAGGAUGAAGUAUUUCGGUAUGUAAACUUCUAUCAGCAGGGAAG